CCCUUAGAUGUUCUGGGCCGCACGCGCGCUACACUGAUGCAUUCAACGAGUCUAAAACCUGCUCUGAUAGGGGUGGGUAAUCUUUUGAAUGUGCAUCGUGAUUGAGAUAGAUGAUUGCAAUUUUUCAUCUUCAACGAGGAAUGCCUAGUAAACGCAAGUCAUCAGCUUGCAUUGAUUACGUCCCUGCCCUUUGUACACACCGCCCGUCGCUCCUACCGAUUGAAUGAUCCGAUGAAUAUCAUGGAUUGAGGAUGUAAGCAGGUUCGCCUGUCUUCAUCUUCGAGAAGUGAAGUAAAUCUUAUCAUUUAGAGGAAGGAGAAGUCGUAACA
Molecule: ribosomal RNA, 329 nt
Filed under: uncultured eukaryote
Lineage: Eukaryota
Description: partial 18S ribosomal RNA
Rfam family: Eukaryotic small subunit ribosomal RNA
Source: RNAcentral